AUUGAACGCUGGCGGCAGGCCUCACACAUGCAAGUCGAACGAGGGGCGGACGGGUGAGUAAUGUAUGGGAAACUGCCUGAUGGAGGGGGAUAACUACUGGAAACGGUAGCUAAUACCGCAUACCCUAGGAUGUGCCCAGAUGGGAGUAGCUAGUAGGUGGGGUAAAGGCGCCCCUAGGCGACGCGCCCUAGCUGGUCUGAGAGGAUGACCAGCCACACUGGAACUGAGACACGGUCCCGACUCCUACGGGAGGCAGCAGUGGGGAAUAUUGCACAAUGGGCGCAAGCCUGAUGCAGCCAUGCCGCGUGUAUGAAGAAGGCCUUCGGGUUGUAAAGUACUUUCGGCGGGGAGGCGUUACCCACAGAGGAAGCACCGGCUAACUCCGUGCCAGCAGCCGCGGUAAUAC
RNAcentral lists this ribosomal RNA (406 nucleotides) under uncultured bacterium. Its description in RNAcentral is "partial 16S ribosomal RNA". It matches the Rfam family "Bacterial small subunit ribosomal RNA", at positions 29 to 526 of the family's 1533-position model. The record is from RNAcentral.